RNAcentral lists this transfer RNA (87 nucleotides) under Flavihumibacter sp. CACIAM 22H1. RNAcentral describes it as "tRNA-Leu". It matches the Rfam family "tRNA". From Rfam's summary of the family: Transfer RNA (tRNA) molecules are approximately 80 nucleotides in length. Their secondary structure includes four short double-helical elements and three loops (D, anti-codon, and T loops). Further hydrogen bonds mediate the characteristic L-shaped molecular structure. tRNAs have two regions of fundamental functional importance: the anti-codon, which is responsible for specific mRNA codon recognition, and the 3' end, to which the tRNAs corresponding amino acid is attached (by aminoacyl-tRNA synthetases). tRNAs cope with the degeneracy of the genetic code in two manners: having more than one tRNA (with a specific anti-codon) for a particular amino acid; and 'wobble' base-pairing, i.e. permitting non-standard base-pairing at the 3rd anti-codon position. The record is from RNAcentral. Lineage: Bacteria; Pseudomonadati; Bacteroidota; Chitinophagia; Chitinophagales; Chitinophagaceae.
GCCCAGAUGGCGGAAUUGGUAGACGCGCUAGACUCAAAAUCUGGUUCUCGCAAGGGAGUGCAGGUUCGAUUCCUGUUCUGGGCACAA